Molecule: transfer RNA, 84 nt
Filed under: Candidatus Kaiserbacteria bacterium RIFCSPHIGHO2_01_FULL_55_37
Lineage: Bacteria; Candidatus Kaiseribacteriota
Also listed under: 2 other names
Description: tRNA-Leu
Rfam family: tRNA
About the family: Transfer RNA (tRNA) molecules are approximately 80 nucleotides in length. Their secondary structure includes four short double-helical elements and three loops (D, anti-codon, and T loops). Further hydrogen bonds mediate the characteristic L-shaped molecular structure. tRNAs have two regions of fundamental functional importance: the anti-codon, which is responsible for specific mRNA codon recognition, and the 3' end, to which the tRNAs corresponding amino acid is attached (by aminoacyl-tRNA synthetases). tRNAs cope with the degeneracy of the genetic code in two manners: having more than one tRNA (with a specific anti-codon) for a particular amino acid; and 'wobble' base-pairing, i.e. permitting non-standard base-pairing at the 3rd anti-codon position.
Source: RNAcentral
GUCGGGGUGGCGAAAUUGGUAGACGCGCGUCACUUAAGAUGACGUGACCGAAAGGUUCUGAGGGUUCGAUUCCCUCCCCCGACA